CAAAAAUCUGCUUGAUUGACCGGUCGUUUAAAGUAGAACGAUGAGACAGGCCGAUUUUCCACACAGUCCUGGGUGCGAUUUAUUUUUAACGUCUUGCAUCUAGAUCUUACUGCUGGAGGCUGCAGAGCGAGUCCCGCCUUCAGAGAACGACCUGCCAGUGGUGAGGACGACGGCCACGUGGUAUGAUGACUUCGUGCCCGACGCCAUUCCUCUAGCCAAGCCGGGGCUACCGGGACCGACGGGGAAACCAGGCCCAAAAGGGGAGAAGGGAGAAGUUGGCGAGAGGGGGAUGUCUGGACCACCAGGUGAGUUCUGGGUGGAGGCAACUAAAGUUAUGAAAAAUAAAAACCCACUCCCCCCUGGGUAUGUUGUUUUGAGGACCCAUAGCGCUCAACCACAUGUUAUAUCUGUUGUCAACAGUCUCUCAGGCGGUGUGUCCUUCUUUGCUGGCCGUUCUUCUGUGCUGGUACUCU
This 473-nucleotide long non-coding RNA is filed under the name Pogona vitticeps (central bearded dragon). RNAcentral's name for it is "lncRNA (ENSPVIG00000010188.1)". Lineage: Eukaryota; Metazoa; Chordata; Lepidosauria; Squamata; Agamidae. The record is from RNAcentral.